This is a long non-coding RNA of Neoarius graeffei (lesser salmon catfish), 696 nucleotides long. RefSeq lists it as uncharacterized. The transcript is spliced from 5 exons. The record is from RefSeq and is a predicted model, not a curated record. Lineage: Eukaryota; Metazoa; Chordata; Actinopteri; Siluriformes; Ariidae.
UUUCCUAAGUUCUGUUUCUUGAAGUGGUAUUGUUUACAAAUGGCAAAAACAUCUACUUCUUUUAAAAAGAAACAAAGUCAAGGACAAGGAAAUAUUGCAUGAGUUCAUGAAGUACACAAACACCGAACAGCAUUGUACCAGGCCUUCCAGCUGUCCUCACAGUGCAAGCAGUCUCCUCAUCUUCUCGAUAUAGCUUAGAUGGUCCAUUCUCACUCUGCAGAAGGUUCUUUAUCUCAUUUGGGAAUGCUUCCUCUUGGACCAGUUUGAUUAUGAACAGCUUGGCUUGCUGCAGCAUCCGCAGCAGCUUCUUGGCGCUUGAUGGAAGACAUGUUCGAAUGCUCUGAGGCGCCCUUCAAGAUAGAAGUGACAGAAUCAAAUUCACUUUUGGUGGAGUUCCAGAGAGACCCCGCCUCCGGCCAAUCUGGUUCAUCUUCAUGUGGGAGCUUCCCAUCCAGAGUACGAGUUCGCUCACUUCAUCUCAGCGGCUGCCCUUCUGCUGGCUGAGAACCAACUUCACUCGCAUUGUCUUCAAGAGGACCAUCUAGAGGUUCACUUCCAUCAUCAACUUGCCCUACCUUAAGUGUAGACUCACUAGAUUCUGAUAUAAUUAAAUAACUAAGUUAUUAAAUGUAGUAAAUGUAAACUUGAAUAUUAAAUGUAAAUAGAGUCUUAAUGUUUGUAAUGUUAAAGUCUAAC